CCUGGAGGAAAUCAAAGUCCUUAUAUGAGACAAAUGAGGUCAUUGAAUUUUCCGCAAAGCAAAUAGGAGCUGAAGAGAGGAGGAGUGGGGGCAACGGCAAUGUCCGCUCACAUAAGGACACUAUUGUGGCUCCCAUUCUUGCUCUCUCUCUCGCACUCGCUUAUAUUCGCCCUAUGUAUUACACUCUCUCACUCAGGAACCGCCCCCGCCCUUGCCCCUUGCGACCAUUCACUAGGAAUUCAUUCCUCUCUCUCUCGCUCUCUCUCCAUUUUACGAUACAACAACGUCACACGCGACAUCUAUUCACACUUUGGUUUACGAAAAUGGAAAAAAUUUUAAUAUCAUAUGCUAUAGGUAAAACGUUUCAUUUUUUCAUUGGAAGAUCCGAUUGACACUUCACCAAAAAUGCACUAUUCUCUCAUAGAAAACGGUACAACGAAAAACAGCUAGACUUUUUUGGAUAACAGCACUUGACGGCAUAGCACACACAUGCACAUACAUAUACCAUUCGCUUAGAAAUUUGAAUGAUUUUUCCUAGGAAACGUUGUUGCUACCUUUUUGUGCCCCCGUACGCAAAACGAACGACUGGAGGCGGAGAGAAGAGCGUAAAUUGUAAAUGGGAGACACAAAGCAGACUACGACAUUGCUGAUGAUGAUGAUGAUGAUGAUGAUGGGGAGAGCUUGCGGUCUAUACGCCGCUCUGUGCUCUGCGUUCUGAGCUGCAGUUUAUCUCAUGCUUUUGUUCACAUUUGCGCCCAUUUAUUGUAUACUAAUAUGAUUAAAUAUCACGAAACGAAACGAAAUGUUGUGCAGCAGAGCAGCGCACACACAAAAA
Long non-coding RNA from Drosophila pseudoobscura, 835 nucleotides. RefSeq lists it as uncharacterized. NCBI's taxonomy places the organism in Eukaryota, Metazoa, Arthropoda, Insecta, Diptera, Drosophilidae. The transcript is spliced from 2 exons. The record is from RefSeq and is a predicted model, not a curated record.